This 94-nucleotide ribosomal RNA is filed under the name Clostridia bacterium. Its description in RNAcentral is "partial 23S ribosomal RNA". It matches the Rfam family "Bacterial large subunit ribosomal RNA", at positions 2831 to 2925 of the family's 2925-position model. Lineage: Bacteria; Bacillati; Bacillota; Clostridia. The record is from RNAcentral.
AGACCCCACGUAGACUAUGUGGUUGAUAGGUCGGAGGUGUAAGUGUGGUAACACAUUCAGCUGACCGAUACUAAUAGGUCGAGGGCUUGACCUA